RNAcentral lists this ribosomal RNA (450 nucleotides) under uncultured Diversispora. Its description in RNAcentral is "SSU rRNA". It matches the Rfam family "Eukaryotic small subunit ribosomal RNA", at positions 569 to 1023 of the family's 1831-position model. The record is from RNAcentral. Lineage: Eukaryota; Fungi; Glomeromycota; Glomeromycetes; Diversisporales; Diversisporaceae.
AGCAGCCGCGGUAAUUCCAGCUCCAAUAGCGUAUAUUAAAGUUGUUGCAGUUAAAAGCUCGUAGUUGAACUUCGGGGUUUACCCAUUGGUCAGGCUUAAUUGUCUGUACUGGUGAGAUAAAUCUCUACCUUCUGAGGAACUUUCAUGCCAUUUAUUUGGUGUGAUGGGAAAUCAGGACUGUUACUUUGAAAAAUUAGAGUGUUUAAAGCAGGCUAACGUCUGAAUACAUUAGCAUGGAAUAAUGAAAUAGGACGGACUGAUUCUAUUUCGUUGGUUUCUAGGAUCACCGUAAUGAUUAAUAGGGAUAGUUGGGGGCAUUAGUAUUCAAUUGUCAGAGGUGAAAUUCUUGGAUUUAUUGAAGACUAACUACUGCGAAAGCAUUUGCCAAGGAUGUUUUCAUUAAUCAAGAACGAAAGUUAGGGGAUCGAAGACGAUCAGAUACCGUCGUAG